UACGGAAGGUGCUAGCGUUGUUCGGAAUUACUGGGCGUAAAGAGCGCGUAGGCGGCUUAGCAAGUUGGGGGUGAAAUCCCGGAGCUCAACUCGGGAACGGCAUUCAAAACUGGUAGGCUUGAGUCCGGGAGAGGGGUGUGGAAUUCCCAGUGUAGAGGUGAAAUUCGUAGAUAUUGGGAAGAACACCGGUGGCGAAGGCGGCGCUCUGGGCCGGUACUGACGCUGAGGCGAGAAAGCGUGGGGAGCAAACAGG
RNAcentral lists this ribosomal RNA (253 nucleotides) under uncultured bacterium. RNAcentral's name for it is "partial 16S ribosomal RNA". It matches the Rfam family "Bacterial small subunit ribosomal RNA", at positions 524 to 776 of the family's 1533-position model. The record is from RNAcentral.